UGAGUGCAAAUAAGGCUGGGAAAGAAUAGCCUCGGCUGUAGAAUGCUGCCCAGGAGCACCCAGGACAACCCUCUCUUCGUUCAAGAAACAAUUCAAAUGCUCAAUGGAUGACAAAGCAAGGUUGAAGUAUGGGAGUGUGAAGAGUUUGUUUCCUGACCAGCUUCAUUCAGGCUGGUUGCCGGCAUUGUGACCAAAUAUCAACAUGUUUUCAGAUACUUUUGUAAGAAUGGAGUCGAAGUUAUAAUCCCACUGGGCUCUGUUGUACUUCUACUAGCUUGUACAUGACUUUCUGGAUCUAGAGGGACUGAAUAUUGUUUGGUUGAAUUGUGCUAGACACAGGACCAGAGAACUUGGGACAAAAAUAUUCUGGAGAACCAGAAGGUAUGACAGAAUCCACAGGUUACAGUCAAGUUAUCUUUCUACUUCGUAUCU
RNAcentral lists this long non-coding RNA (432 nucleotides) under Chrysolophus pictus (golden pheasant). Its description in RNAcentral is "lncRNA (ENSCPIG00010003122.1)". The record is from RNAcentral. Lineage: Eukaryota; Metazoa; Chordata; Aves; Galliformes; Phasianidae.